AACGAACGCUGGCGGCAUGCCUAACACAUGCAAGUCGAACGAGACCUUCGGGUCUAGUGGCGCACGGGUGCGUAACGCGUGGGAACCUGCCCUUAGGUUCGGAAUAACUCCCCGAAAGGGGUGCUAAUACCGGAUAAUGUUUUCGGACCAAAGAUUUAUCGCCUUUGGAUGGGCCCGCGUUGGAUUAGCUAGUUGGUAGGGUAAAAGCCUACCAAGGCGACGAUCCAUAGCUGGUCUGAGAGGCUGAUCAGCCACACUGGGACUGAGACACGGCCCAGACUCCUACGGGAGGCAGCAGUGGGGAAUAUUGGACAAUGGGCGAAAGCCUGAUCCAGCAAUGCCGCGUGAGUGAUGAAGGCCUUAGGGUUGUAAAGCUCUUUUACCCGGGAUGAUAAUGACAGUACCGGGAGAAUAAGCUCCGGCUAACUCCGUG
This 433-nucleotide ribosomal RNA is filed under the name uncultured bacterium. Its description in RNAcentral is "partial 16S ribosomal RNA". It matches the Rfam family "Bacterial small subunit ribosomal RNA", at positions 29 to 507 of the family's 1533-position model. The record is from RNAcentral.